AUUGAACGCUGGCGGCAUGCCUUACACAUGCAAGUCGAACGGCAGCACGGACUUCGGUCUGGUGGCGAGUGGCGAACGGGUGAGUAAUGUAUCGGAACGUACCUUUCAGUGGGGGAUAACGUAGCGAAAGUUACGCUAAUACCGCAUAUUCUGUGAGCAGGAAAGCAGGGGAUCGAAAGACCUUGCGCUGAUUGAGCGGCCGAUAUCAGAUUAGCUAGUUGGUGGGGUAAAGGCCUACCAAGGCGACGAUCUGUAGCGGGUCUGAGAGGAUGAUCCGUCACACUGGAACUGAGACACGGUCCAGACUCCUACGGGAGGCAGCAGUGGGGAAUUUUGGACAAUGGGGGCAACCCUGAUCCAGCCAUGCCGCGUGAGUGAAGAAGGCCUUCGGGUUGUAAAGCUCUUUCGGCCGGGAAGAAAUCGCAUAGGCUAAUACCCUGUGUGGAUGACGGUACCGGAAUAAGAAGCACCGGCUAACUACGUG
Molecule: ribosomal RNA, 484 nt
Filed under: uncultured bacterium
Lineage: Bacteria
Description: partial 16S ribosomal RNA
Rfam family: Bacterial small subunit ribosomal RNA
Source: RNAcentral